AUCUUCAAUUUCCAAAGUCUUCUGACAGUUGUGUUACUAUUGAUAUGUACAUGUGCUUAUAUACGGUCCAUAGCGCCAAGUCUUCUUGACAAAAACAAGGAAGGGUUAUUAGGAAUAUUCUGGAAAUGUGCAAGAAUAGGU
Long non-coding RNA from Ruditapes philippinarum (Manila clam), 141 nucleotides. RefSeq lists it as uncharacterized. The record is from RefSeq and is a predicted model, not a curated record. The transcript has 2 exons. NCBI's taxonomy places the organism in Eukaryota, Metazoa, Mollusca, Bivalvia, Venerida, Veneridae.